Molecule: long non-coding RNA, 1295 nt
Organism: Apis cerana (Asiatic honeybee)
Lineage: Eukaryota; Metazoa; Arthropoda; Insecta; Hymenoptera; Apidae
Source: RefSeq, a predicted model, not a curated record
CAGUCGCACUUGAGCAGUCAAAUAAUGUGUGUUGUAUUUUUAUUUGUGUUUUUUCUUAUAUUUUAUUAUUAUUGUAUUGUUUAAUUUUUGUAAGUGAGAAUUCACGUGAAGAGUAUGCAUUUCUUUUAUGUAAGUGACUAAAUAUUCUAUAUUCUUCAUGAAGAUUUAUCAGAAAAUUAUGAAUAAUUUGAUAUGUAAAUUGUGGGAGAUAUAAUCUCGAUGAAAAAGUGCAAUGUGAAGAUACGUUAGAGGAUUGAAUUAUACAGAGAAAUCAGCUUUCACGGAUGGAACGAGAUUUCAGUGGAACGAAUGAAGUUCAUUGCAGUGUCUGUCAAAGUUGAGAGAUUGCCCAUGUCAAAUGGUGAUAGUAAUGUCGUGCACAAUUUGGGAAUCGAUAGAAUCGAGUUACGGGACAAGCUGUCUUUUAUUUUCAUUCCUGCACACGAAAAUGUAUGAUAAAAUGCUGUAACAGGUGUUCAUACAUAGUCGAUUGCUCUUAGACGAAUGCACGUGCUUUCAACAACGAUGCUUUUCUCUACAAAGAAGCACACGACCCAGAAAAACCUCUGUUAAAAAAAGCGUGGAAGAGACGUAUCGAUCGUGGUUGCAGAAGAGACUAAUUAACAGUUUUCGUUUUUCAAAGAUGACACGUUGAAGAAACUUGUGAUUUUUCAUUCAUCAAUCAUCUUUCUUUAGAACAAUGUAUAAGUGUACAUAUGUAUAUAUUUUUGUAUAUUAUUAUUUUUCUAGUAUUGUUCUUGAAUGGUAAUGACUAUUUUUAUUUCACGGUACAGAAGGAAAAAUAUGAUUCUUUUCUCUUUUUUUUUUUAGUAAUCCGAAGUGAUUUAUCAACCGUUGGAAAAGAGCUUCUUUCUUGUUUAUUUCUUCGAGACUUCGAGACUGGUAUUUUGCAAGAAGAAUGUUGUUUUAUCGCUGUAGGUAAAGUAGAUAUCUGAAAGCUCUUAAAGACGACCUUUCAACAUUCUAGCUUACCAGUAGCUUUCGAGCUUGUUGAAAGUCAACUUCCGGCCACUUGGCGCACUUAAUCUUGGAAAGUAAAUGACCAAUAAGUACUUACUAAAAAAAAUUCGUUGAUAUUUUUGAAUAAUAUUUAAAAUUUAAUAAUCACAUAAAAUAAGUAAAAUAGUAUUACCUAAAUUUCUUUCAUUUUUAAAAUUUCAAAAAAAAAACAAAAAUUAUGAAUUUAUAAACAUAUAAACGAAUUGAAAAAAAUAAAAUAAUCAGGAUAAUAAUAAUAAAAAUAAAAUCAAAUAUAUGUUUAAUAUUAAAUCUAA